RNAcentral lists this small RNA (27 nucleotides) under Bombyx mori (domestic silkworm). RNAcentral's name for it is "ovarian small RNA-19505". Lineage: Eukaryota; Metazoa; Arthropoda; Insecta; Lepidoptera; Bombycidae. The record is from RNAcentral.
UAAUAAGACCACUGGUGGAGCAUGACU